ACCCGGCUGAUGAGUGCCAAACAGGACGAAACGCGGGUCCUGGAC
RNAcentral lists this non-coding RNA (45 nucleotides) under Schistosoma mattheei. Lineage: Eukaryota; Metazoa; Platyhelminthes; Trematoda; Strigeidida; Schistosomatidae. The record is from RNAcentral.